Aegilops tauschii subsp. strangulata is the source of this 2663-nucleotide long non-coding RNA. RefSeq lists it as uncharacterized. The record is from RefSeq and is a predicted model, not a curated record. Lineage: Eukaryota; Viridiplantae; Streptophyta; Magnoliopsida; Poales; Poaceae.
CCUCCUCUCUCCUGUGAAAAUAUCUCCUCUCUCCCCUCUUCUCUGUGCCGCCGCCGCCGCCUCCGCUUCCCCCCUCCCUCUCGGCCGCCUUGUCUCCUCCGCGUCCACCGUCUGCUUCUCCCCUUGUCUCGGCACCCGAGUAGCACGGCCACAUCACGCCUGCGCCCUCGCUUUGCCACAUCCUCUGCGUCGUCGUGCCAUCACACCGCCUCCACUUCGCCUUUGGUUCCCCGCCGCAGCCUCCUGCCCGUGCGCUUGAGAGGGGCAUCGCCGUCGUUGCCGGUGGCGACUUCAUCGGCCGCCUCCUCUCUCCUUGCCAAUCGUGACUGCCACGACCUCGGACCUCGCUGCAGACCCCUCGGCUAUCAGGGAAGGCAGCCAUCAGUGGAGAUUGAGCCGGCUACAUGGGUGCACUUACCAGGCUCUAUUUAUAUUACCCACUUUCCGUUUGGAUAAUGUUACUUUGCUUGUAAUUUUGAGAUUAAACUAUUAGCUUACUAUCAGGUCUGCACCAUUCUAGAUAUCAUCUUGACUUUUAACUUCUCCAAAUGCAACAUUGGAUAACAUAAAUAGGAAUUUUUGUCAAAUUGUGAAACUGUAAUUAAUAGAUUCACCUGAAUAUUAAUCUGUUGUGUUAUUGCAGGGAAGAGGUAUGAAAUUCUCAACUUAGGAGGGAGCAUACACAAGGUAUUCCACGCUUCCCAUUCUCCUCAUGUAGCAAAGGAACAUCCAACCUGUCAUGUGUCGAUCACUAAGUAAUAAACAGGACUCUGAUGUUGGAAAGAAGCAACUGGAUAUCAAAGCAAAAGGAACACGGCUCCUCUUAUAAAUCAGUGAACUAUCCUAAUUCUGGACUCUUAUGGCCCUAUAUAUGCCAAGCAGUCACAACUGCUGUUUUAGACAAACUAAAAAAAAAAAUUUAACUUUGCAGUGUAAGCAGACCCUUGAGUAGGAGAGCAACAUGACUGCUAGCUUCCCUGCUGCAUUACAGGAGAUGGAUACGAAGUCCUCGGAGGAGGAAUACAAAGCUCUACAAGGUGAUGGAGCUGGAGAUGUUGUGUAUUUCCAGUCUCUUGAAGAACGAAUCAUUAAUAUGAAGAUUUUGCAGGGAUGUAUAUAUAUGAUCAUGUUUCACUGGGAUCCUCAACUGUUCCGGUUCGUAUUUAGCAGGAUCACAUGUUGACCAAUGACUCAAAUUAAUUUUCUCACUGAUCCUGUUUACUCAAGAACUUGUGACCCAGUUCCAGGACAACUAUGGACUAAGGGGUGGAGGUUGAUUUAUCAUGAGGCGGUUACAGGCAUGCAUGUUUUAUGGUGGCAAGCAUUAUAUAUCAUUGAAGACUCACCAUUUGUUCAAGUUCCUAACAUGCUAAUCGGCAACCUUUAGAAGAUUGCCCUUCAAAAUUUUCUUGCCUGCUCUCCUUGCCCCUGAGCUCCUGUACCAGCAACAACAACUUGUGUGUGGUAUCAGCCAGAGAUUAGCGUUGAUUUUUUCAAGUUAUUGGGACACUCGAGAACUAGCAGUACCACAUAAAAAAGUCUGGAGUUAGCAGAACCAGAAGCAUUACACUGAGGCGCUCAGAAGAAACCCAAAGGAUCCAAAGGUAUACGGCAACACGGCUUCCUGUUACACCAAGACGGAUGCCAUGCCUGAAGUACUGAAGGAUACCAAGAAGUGCAUCGAGCUAUAUCCCACAUUCUACAAGGGAUGCACAAGGAAGGGUGCAAUCCUGUUUGUCUCUAAAGAAUGCGACAAAGCAAGGGAACGAGUGUUCCUGAGUGGUUUUCUUAUUGCUUGAUCAAAACUACAAGCAGAGCAAAUUUAAAGUCCUGCUGUUCUCUUUGCAAAUUUAAGGUCCUGCAAAUUUAAGCUGCAAUGGAAAAAGUGAAGAUUCCAGUAAAAGUGCUUCUAGACGCUAUGAUGCACCAGCUUGGCCUCCCAAAUGCAGUUUACUCAACACAAAAAGGGGCGGACGGUCGGUCUUGAUGCAAUAGUUCACUUCUAUGGAUGUAAGCAGCAACUGGACAAUAGACUUUCACCAAAAUCAAUAUCCAUCCAUGUGUAUGAUAAACUCGAAGAAGCUGAAGAUCAACUAGCAACUGAGGCUCUCAGGUGCAUACAAGGUUCUUACAACACAGUUCUACAAGACAUAAACUACGACAAGGCACAUCUAGCUCAAGAAAAAUGUUAGACUCUAGAGCAUCAGCAAAAAAGAUAAGGACGGAAGAAUCAACUAUUUUAGCAGCAGUGGAGAUCAAAUUGCAGCAAAGGAACUUUAUCGCAUAACAGAUACAAACUAGCUGGCUCAAUAUCCAAAGACAACAAUCUCAAUCAUGUUUUAUCACAGGUAACAUAUGUUGCUGACCGUCUUAGCGAUACAACAACACAGUCUGAAUAUGAUCUCCAGCAAAUAAACCACUAUUAUUGGGGCCUGGACGAUGAUAUCGAAGGAAUUUCUGCUUUGAGCAAUGCAGGCCACGAAGAAUAGCAGUUAUGAAGAGUUGCCUCAAAGAGGUCGUUCUAAACAUCCAGCGAUACAUCUGUCUAAGUAUCUUUGCCUAUCUACAUGCCUUGCUCAUAACAUGUAAAUGAUCGUUCGUAAGCUUCUUAGGAAACAUGUAUCAUCAGCAACCAUCUAUCUAUCAUCAACCCAUACUUAUUU